UACGGAGGGAGCUAGCGUUAUUCGGAAUUACUGGGCGUAAAGCGCACGUAGGCGGCUUUGUAAGUUAGAGGUGAAAGCCCGGAGCUCAACUCCGGAACUGCCUUUAAGACUGCAUCGCUCGAAUCCGGGAGAGGUGAGUGGAAUUCCCGGUGUAGUGGUGAAAUGCGUAGAUAUCGGGAGGAACACCAGUGGCGAAAGCGGCCGGCUGGGCCUUUUCUGACGCUGAGGCGCGAAAGCGUGGGGAGCGAACCGG
Molecule: ribosomal RNA, 253 nt
Filed under: uncultured bacterium
Lineage: Bacteria
Description: partial 16S ribosomal RNA
Rfam family: Bacterial small subunit ribosomal RNA
Source: RNAcentral